RNAcentral lists this ribosomal RNA (1362 nucleotides) under uncultured organism. RNAcentral describes it as "SSU rRNA". It matches the Rfam family "Bacterial small subunit ribosomal RNA", at positions 45 to 1363 of the family's 1533-position model. The record is from RNAcentral.
UGCCUAAUACAUGCAAGUCGAACGAACUUCCGUUCCUUGAUCAGGACGUGCUUGCACUGAAUGAGAUUUUAACACGAAGUGAGUGGCGGACGGGUGAGUAACACGUGGGUAACCUGCCCAGAAGCAGGGGAUAACACCUGGAAACAGAUGCUAAUACCGUAUAACAGAGAAAACCGCCUGGUUUUCUUUUAAAAGAUGGCUCUGCUAUCACUUCUGGAUGGACCCGCGGCGCAUUAGCUAGUUGGUGAGGUAACGGCUCACCAAGGCGAUGAUGCGUAGCCGACCUGAGAGGGUAAUCGGCCACAUUGGGACUGAGACACGGCCCAGACUCCUACGGGAGGCAGCAGUAGGGAAUCUUCCACAAUGGACGCAAGUCUGAUGGAGCAACGCCGCGUGAGUGAAGAAGGGUUUCGGCUCGUAAAGCUCUGUUGUUAAAGAAGAACGUGGGUGAGAGUAACUGUUCACCCAGUGACGGUAUUUAACCAGAAAGCCACGGCUAACUACGUGCCAGCAGCCGCGGUAAUACGUAGGUGGCAAGCGUUAUCCGGAUUUAUUGGGCGUAAAGCGAGCGCAGGCGGUCUUUUAAGUCUAAUGUGAAAGCCUUCGGCUCAACCGAAGAAGUGCAUUGGAAACUGGGAGACUUGAGUGCAGAAGAGGACAGUGGAACUCCAUGUGUAGCGGUGAAAUGCGUAGAUAUAUGGAAGAACACCAGUGGCGAAGGCGGCUGUCUGGUCUGUAACUGACGCUGAGGCUCGAAAGCAUGGGUAGCGAACAGGAUUAGAUACCCUGGUAGUCCAUGCCGUAAACGAUGAUUACUAAGUGUUGGAGGGUUUCCGCCCUUCAGUGCUGCAGCUAACGCAUUAAGUAAUCCGCCUGGGGAGUACGACCGCAAGGUUGAAACUCAAAAGAAUUGACGGGGGCCCGCACAAGCGGUGGAGCAUGUGGUUUAAUUCGAAGCUACGCGAAGAACCUUACCAGGUCUUGACAUCUUCUGCCAACCUAAGAGAUUAGGCGUUCCCUUCGGGGACAGAAUGACAGGUGGUGCAUGGUUGUCGUCAGCUCGUGCCGUGAGAUGUUGGGUUAAGUCCCGCAACGAGCGCAACCCUUAUUACUAGUUGCCAGCAUUCAGUUGGGCACUCUAGUGAGACUGCCGGUGACAAACCGGAGGAAGGUGGGGACGACGUCAAAUCAUCAUGCCCCUUAUGACCUGGGCUACACACGUGCUACAAUGGAUGGUACAACGAGUUGCGAAACCGCGAGGUUUAGCUAAUCUCUUAAAACCAUUCUCAGUUCGGACUGUAGGCUGCAACUCGCCUACACGAAGUCGGAAUCGCUAGUAAUCGCGGAUCAGCAUGCCGCGGU